CAAUAGCGUAUAUUAAAGUUGUUGCGGUUAAAAAGCUCGUAGUUGGAUUUCUGCCGAGGACGACCGGUCCGCCCUGUGGGUGAGCAUCUGGAUCGGCCUGGGCAUCUUCUUGGGGAACGUAGCUGCACUUGACUGUGUGGUGCGGUAUCCAGGACUUUUACCUUGAGGAAAUUAGAGUGUUUCAAGCAGGCGCACGCCUUGAAUACAUUAGCAUGGAAUAAUAAGAUAGGACCUCGGUUCUAUUUUGUUGGUUUCUAGAGCUGAGGUAAUGAUUAAUAGGGAUAGUUGGGGGCAUUAGUAUUUAAUUGUCAGAGGUGAAAUUCUUGGACCGUCUGAAGACUGACUACUGCGAAAGCAUUUGCCAAGAGUGUUUUCAUUAAUCAAGAACGAAAGUUAGAGGUUCGAAGACGAUCAGAUACCGU
RNAcentral lists this ribosomal RNA (422 nucleotides) under uncultured eukaryote. RNAcentral's name for it is "SSU rRNA". It matches the Rfam family "Eukaryotic small subunit ribosomal RNA", at positions 592 to 1018 of the family's 1831-position model. The record is from RNAcentral.